Verticillium dahliae VdLs.17 is the source of this 85-nucleotide transfer RNA. It matches the Rfam family "tRNA". Rfam says of the family: Transfer RNA (tRNA) molecules are approximately 80 nucleotides in length. NCBI's taxonomy places the organism in Eukaryota, Fungi, Ascomycota, Sordariomycetes, Glomerellales, Plectosphaerellaceae. The record is from Rfam.
AGAGAUUUGACCGAGUGGACGAUGGUGGUAACCUUGAGUUUUAUUAAGAAGCAAUUCUUCAUGGGUUCGAAUCCCAUAUUCUCUG